This is a long non-coding RNA of Salvia miltiorrhiza (redroot sage), 647 nucleotides long. RefSeq lists it as uncharacterized. NCBI's taxonomy places the organism in Eukaryota, Viridiplantae, Streptophyta, Magnoliopsida, Lamiales, Lamiaceae. The record is from RefSeq and is a predicted model, not a curated record. The transcript has 3 exons.
UCAACUUCUAUGCGAAAGAUAGACGCCUAUUAAUACGAUUCCCCUUCAAUUUUUUAGAUGAUACUUGCGAGCAUGCGUUUGAAACAUUUGUUUGCAUUCGUAUUUUAAUUAUGAACUAUAAACAUAUCUUAACAUUUUUUGAUGAAUCUCUGAAAAUCUUGGUUUAUUUGGCUUUAUUUGAGAUCGAUGAAUGGAUGAAAUGUUUUUGCCCAAUAUUUAACUUGUGUGAUAUCUGAUGAGAUUGGUUUAAUGUAUUCGUAUAUGCCAGACUAAGUUCAUCUCUGAAUAAGUGCUUGUUCACUAAAUUUGUAGUCUUUGUUAUAGAUAUGGAAACAUCUAGCGGCAAUGCAAUCGUUGUGCCAGAUUCUCCAAGUGAUUCAUCCAUUUCACCAGACAAGAAGCGGAAGAAGUUGGUUCUACAUCACCAUUCACGAUUACUUAAGAUAGAUUGCAUAUCCCAGCCUGGAAUGUCGUAUAUAUCACGGUAGAGAGCCUUUUUUGGUGCAUUGGAUCGUGAGUUGCAACUAUAUCAGACAAAUGAUCUCGGCUAUAUUGACAUGGUAAAGUUUUGGUUGUUUUUUAUGCAAAUAAUGAUCUGGUAUUAAUCAUCAGCUGUAUCGAAUCUCUUUCCAGUUUAUUUUCCCUGU